Lolium perenne is the source of this 2232-nucleotide non-coding RNA. NCBI's taxonomy places the organism in Eukaryota, Viridiplantae, Streptophyta, Magnoliopsida, Poales, Poaceae. The record is from RefSeq and is a predicted model, not a curated record.
UACAAAGAAGUCCUGUCGGUGCCCUGCGCACACCACCGUCGGCCGCCGAUCCCGAGCUCCGCCGCCGCCGAAGCGCCGCCAGAGAGGGGAAAAGCGGAGAUUACCAAACACCCAGCUCCGGGAAGCCCCAUCGCAGCAUCUGUGCUUUAAGAGCCUCAAUAGUGGCCCGCCAGCGGCGGGACCUUGCCGUUGGAGCAUGUCGGCCGGGGGACGCCCCCAGGCUUCACGGAGCCCGUCUCCAGUGCCCUCCAUCGAUGCAGUCGAGGAAGCGCAGAAGAGCCGCCUGCCUCUAUCCAUCGAACCCUGCUCGAGGCCAUCCGUCCAUCCGCAAAGGCCGCCGUCGCCGUCCUCGAAGAAGACGACACCGAACAGCCGACUCCUAUACAAACCUCCAGAACUCCCGGCCGACGCAGGAGCACGCGCCGCCGUGAUGGAGACGAGUCCCGAGGACAAAAUCCUCCAGCCUGGUCGCCGCAUCCACCUCGCCAACCAGACCCAGGAAAACCUACCUCCACAAGCUCUCCGGCGCCGCCCUACAGAGCACCGCCAAGGUGGGGAAAGAGCUGUAGCUACCUUAUUUCCCCAAGACGCCACCUCCACCACCACGACGGCGUCCCUGGGAAGACUACUCCUACACCUAUCUCCGGCGGUUUUGUUUGGGAGCUAGCCCACUACGCAGCCGUACCUGAACUUUUUUUAUUGCCUUUUUCUAAUCGAGAGCGUCCAGCGACGAGCGGUUUGGAUAUUGGAGUUGAGGCGCGGCGGCGACCGGUUUCGCGUCUGGCGGCGGCGGCGGCGCAGCGUCCGGCUGAAUCGGGAGCCAGGCGAGUAGGGGGUUGGUUCUGCGCUCUCGCUGGAGUCGGCGACGCCGUGGCCGGCCCGGCCGGCCGAAUCGGCGGCAUGGUGAGCAAGCGGGUCGUAGCUGCGGGCGGCAUCGGCAUCGCCCCCAUCUUCUCCUUUCUCUACCACAAGUGCUGUGCUGCUUUCCGCCGGUCAUGCUGCGGCAGCCCGGCGAGCGGCGUCUCACAAACUCGUGAGGAUUAUUCAAGCAUUGGUUUCUAGUGAUGUUUCAGAUUAUUUUUACCUCCUAAUGAGGCAUCAAGGGAGGUUAGCAACCAAUCCAACAUUUUUCACUUACCUAUGGACCAUUUUUUUUGAGGUCUUAGGGGGUGGGGCAGGGAGGAGAUACCUCAUAGCUUGUUGCAUUCACUCGAAGCUGACUCGGAACAUUAAUAAGUUCAGAUUACAAAUGCCCAUAGACAGCUAGCAAGGGAGAUAGGGUAAUGCCACACUAACCUAGGCAGGAGAGCAGAAAAGAGCGGUAAUAGAGCAGACCUGUUUUUAUCAGCCAUUGCAUUAUUUUUUACACGAAGUGCAAUUAAACCACCAGGGAUCCGAAUGACCCAGCUAGCCCCCCUUGUCGGCUCCAUCACAUCUGCUCGAUGUGGUUUAGUGUACUAACCGUACUCGCAUCACUGGCCGGCCAACAUAAUUUCCUUUCGCUUAUUUUACGUUGCUUGACCCAGCUAGUCGCCCUUGUCAGCUCCAUCGCACCUGCUCGGUGUGGUUUAGGUACUAAUCGUACUCGCAUCACUGGCCGACGUAAUAUCAUUUCGCUUCUUUUACGUUGCUUGGGACAGUUAAUUUCUUUCUCGCUGUGGGGGGCUGGGUUUGGGAACUACCGACUCGGCAUUUUUCUGUUCUAAUUGGGAUCGGUAGCCGCAUGCGGUUUUGAAGGCGGGCGUCGAGAGCUUUCAACGGCGAGGGCGUAGGCGCGCGACAGCUGUAGUUGGCCUUGUCGGCCGACGGUAGCAUCGCAUCGAGGCAGGCGGUGCUGCGGGACCUUUCGACAGCCGUCGGUGGCUCGUCGGCUGACGGCAACAUCAAGGAAAGUGGUGCUGCGAGAGGCGUCACGGUGUGGUGGGUGGCUGGCACAGCAGCGACCGGUGCGAGAAGCUUCACCACAUGGUGGGCCCGGACUGCGACGAGUGGGACAGCCAGUAAUGUUCAAAAUAUUAAGAGGAACUGGGAUGUGUCCUUCUCCUGGGGUACACAUUGAAAUGUAGAGCUGCACCGCAUGUUCUGGUCUUCAGCGCCUAGACACCUAGUAGGAUGGAAAUACAACAUCAAAGCAUAGUGUACUGGAGUUGUUGAUGUAACUAGAUAAUUUGCACUGACUGUAAUUUAUUACGUUCACAUAUUUCAUUUAUUUUCGAUAUGCACUUUAUUCUA